AGAACUUUAGCAGAGAUGCUUUUGGUGCCCUUUCGGGAACUCUGAGACAGGUGCUGCAUGGCUGUCGUCAGCUCGUGUUGUGAAAUGUUGGGUUAAGUCCCGCAACGAGCGCAACCCUUUAUCCUUUUGUUGCCAGCGGUCCGGCCGGGAACUCAAAGGAGACUGCCAGUGAUAAACUGGAGGAAGGUGGGGAUGACGUCAAGUCAUCAUGGCCCUUACGAGUAGGGCUACACACGUGCUACAAUGGCGCAUACAAAGAGAAGCGACCUCGCGAGAGCAAGCGGACCUCAUAAAGUGCGUCGUAGUCCGGAUUGGAGUCUGCAACUCGACUCCAUGAAGUCGGAAUCGCUAGUAAUCGUAGAUCAGAAUGCUACGGUGAAUACGUUCCCGGGCCUUGUACACACCGCCCGUCACACCAUGGGAGUGGGUUGCAAAAGAAGUAGGUAGCUUAACCUUCGGGAGGGCGCUUACCACUUUGUGAUUCAUGACUGGGGUGAAGUCGUAACAAGGUAAGCGUAGCGAG
Molecule: ribosomal RNA, 523 nt
Filed under: uncultured bacterium
Lineage: Bacteria
Description: bacterial SSU rRNA
Rfam family: Bacterial small subunit ribosomal RNA
Source: RNAcentral